RNAcentral lists this ribosomal RNA (253 nucleotides) under uncultured bacterium. RNAcentral describes it as "partial 16S ribosomal RNA". It matches the Rfam family "Bacterial small subunit ribosomal RNA", at positions 524 to 776 of the family's 1533-position model. The record is from RNAcentral.
UACGAAGGGGGCUAGCGUUGCUCGGAAUCACUGGGCGUAAAGCGCACGUUGGCGGAUUGUUAAGUCAGGGGUGAAAUCCUGGAGCUCAACUCCAGAACUGCCUUUGAUACUGGCGAUCUCGAGUCCGGGAGAGGUGAGUGGAACUGCGAGUGUAGAGGUGAAAUUCGUAGAUAUUCGCAAGAACACCAGUGGCGAAGGCGGCUCACUGGCCCGGUACUGACGCUGAGGUGCGAAAGCGUGGGGAGCAAACAGG